This 659-nucleotide ribosomal RNA is filed under the name Vibrionaceae bacterium GUDS998. RNAcentral's name for it is "bacterial SSU rRNA". It matches the Rfam family "Bacterial small subunit ribosomal RNA", at positions 67 to 719 of the family's 1533-position model. Lineage: Bacteria; Pseudomonadati; Pseudomonadota; Gammaproteobacteria; Vibrionales; Vibrionaceae. The record is from RNAcentral.
UUGAACCUUCGGGGGAUUUGUUGGGCGGCGAGCGGCGGACGGGUGAGUAAUGCCUAGGAAAUUGCCCUGAUGUGGGGGAUAACUAUUGGAAACGAUAGCUAAUACCGCAUGAUGCCUACGGGCCAAAGAGGGGGACCUUCGGGCCUCUCGCGUCAGGAUAUGCCUAGGUGGGAUUAGCUAGUUGGUGAGGUAAGGGCUCACCAAGGCGACGAUCCCUAGCUGGUCUGAGAGGAUGAUCAGCCACACUGGAACUGAGACACGGUCCAGACUCCUACGGGAGGCAGCAGUGGGGAAUAUUGCACAAUGGGCGCAAGCCUGAUGCAGCCAUGCCGCGUGUAUGAAGAAGGCCUUCGGGUUGUAAAGUACUUUCAGUCGUGAGGAAGGUUCAUGCGUUAAUAGCGUAUGGAUUUGACGUUAGCGACAGAAGAAGCACCGGCUAACUCCGUGCCAGCAGCCGCGGUAAUACGGAGGGUGCGAGCGUUAAUCGGAAUUACUGGGCGUAAAGCGCAUGCAGGUGGUUAGUUAAGUCAGAUGUGAAAGCCCGGGGCUCAACCUCGGAAUUGCAUUUGAAACUGGCUGACUAGAGUACUGUAGAGGGGGGUAGAAUUUCAGGUGUAGCGGUGAAAUGCGUAGAGAUCUGAAGGAAUACCGGUGGCGAA